AAUAGCACCAUCCCUACAAUAGCCAGCGACCAUAUUAUCACCGUUUGUCCUAUUGGUCCUAUUUGAAGUGCGAGUCUCAUGAGAAGCAUCAAGUCAUCGGGAACGUCGUCUAUUACCUGCAAAUAAAUUGAUCAAAACCUUAGCCGAUGAUGUUACGCUCACAGGUGGAAACUUUGCCAUACUGAUAUUUAGUCGACGAGCUCGAAUCGUGGAAGAACAUACAUCAUCGAACAAGUCAACGUAUGUUUAUGAAUCAGUUUUCCACGGUAUUUGUGAAAUGUGUUUUGAUCGUAUCAGAAGAAGAAAAGAGAGAAAAAUACACGAGAUGAAUUAAAUCUACAAUCUAAAACGACAUAGAAUUUGUACGUUCUAUGAAAUUAAAUAUUUUUAGUAGUUAGCAAAAUAAUUCUUCUUUAUAGCAAAUGAGAAUACAAUUUCCCUAUGUGGAUUAUCGUUGUCUAUAAAAAGGUUCAAAGUAUAAAAGUGAAAUAGUUGAGCAAACUCACUGAUUGCUUUUUGUGCAGUUAGGAGUUGUUGACAUUAGCCUCGUAAACUCUGAAAUGUGGGCAUGUCUGCAUAAACAGUGAAAGGAUCAACGACUGAAAUAAUUGCGAAAACCAUUGGCAAUUUGGUACAUAUAGCUGCUGCCAAGAUGCUAAUGUCUAUAUGUACCUGAUAUUGCACUUGACUGGCACGCUCAUGCAUAUAUAAUAUGACAUAUUUCAAGUAAAUUAACUGAUAAUAUAAAACUGUCUAGAGUGCGUGCAUGCUAUAACUGUACUCGGUGUAGUCGUGCCUGUAAAAGUUUAGCAACAGAAAGUUUCAAACGAUUCGAUCGAUUCAUAUGCAGUAAGGUAAGCCGAUUGUGUCAACAACCGGUAUAUUUUUCAUUUA
This is a long non-coding RNA of Frieseomelitta varia, 894 nucleotides long. RefSeq lists it as uncharacterized. The record is from RefSeq and is a predicted model, not a curated record. NCBI's taxonomy places the organism in Eukaryota, Metazoa, Arthropoda, Insecta, Hymenoptera, Apidae. The transcript is spliced from 3 exons.